GUCAGGUGCAGUAGUGCACACCUGUAAUCCCAGCUACUUGGGAAGGCUGAGGCAAGAGAAUCACAAGUUCUAGGCCAGCCUGGGCAACUUGGUGAGACCCUGUCUCAA
This 108-nucleotide small RNA is filed under the name Marmota monax (woodchuck). Lineage: Eukaryota; Metazoa; Chordata; Mammalia; Rodentia; Sciuridae. The record is from RNAcentral.